UACGGGGGGGGCAAGCGUUGUUCGGAAUUACUGGGCGUAAAGGGCGCGUAGGCGGCCUUCUAAGUCGGACGUGAAAUCCCUCGGCUUAACCGAGGAACUGCGUCCGAUACUGAAAGGCUUGAAUCCGGGAGAGGGAUGUGGAAUUCCAGGUGUAGCGGUGAAAUGCGUAGAUAUCUGGAGGAACACCGGUGGCGAAGGCGGCAUCCUGGACCGGCAUUGACGCUGAGGCGCGAAAGCUAGGGGAGCAAGCGGG
Molecule: ribosomal RNA, 253 nt
Filed under: uncultured bacterium
Lineage: Bacteria
Description: partial 16S ribosomal RNA
Rfam family: Bacterial small subunit ribosomal RNA
Source: RNAcentral